RNAcentral lists this ribosomal RNA (253 nucleotides) under uncultured bacterium. Its description in RNAcentral is "partial 16S ribosomal RNA". It matches the Rfam family "Bacterial small subunit ribosomal RNA", at positions 524 to 776 of the family's 1533-position model. The record is from RNAcentral.
UACAGAGGUCUCAACCGUUGUUCGGAUUCAUUGGGCGUAAAGGGUGCGUAGGCGGUCGCGCAAGUCGGAUGUGAAAUCUCAGGGCUCAACCCUGAAACUGCAUUCGAUACUGCGUGGCUAGAGUGCUGGAGAGGAGACUGGAAUUUACGGUGUAGCAGUGAAAUGCGUAGAUAUCGUAAGGAAGACCAGUGGCGAAGGCGAAUCUCUGGACAGUUACUGACACUGAGGCACGAAGGCCAGGGGAGCAAACGGG